GAUGAACGCUGGCGGCGUGCCUAAUACAUGCAAGUCGAGCGAACGGACGAGAAGCUUGCUUCUCUGAUGUUAGCGGCGGACGGGUGAGUAACACGUGGAUAACCUACCUAUAAGACUGGGAUAACUUCGGGAAACCGGGGCUAAUACCGGAUGAUAUUUUGAACCGCAUGGUUCAAAAGUGAAAGACGGUCUUGCUGUCACUUAUAGAUGGAUCCGCGCUGCAUUAGCUAGUUGGUAAGGUAACGGCUUACCAAGGCAACGAUGCAUAGCCGACCUGAGAGGGUGAUCGGCCACACUGGAACUGAGACACGGUCCAGACUCCUACGGGAGGCGGCAGUAGGGAAUCUUCCGCAAUGGGCGAAAGCCUGACGGAGCAACGCCGCGUGAGUGAUGAAGGUCUUCGGAUCGUAAAACUCUGUUAUUAGGGAAGAACAUAUGUGUAAGUAACUGUGCACAUCUUGACGGUACCUAAUCAGAAAGCCACGGCUAACUACGUG
RNAcentral lists this ribosomal RNA (497 nucleotides) under uncultured bacterium. Its description in RNAcentral is "partial 16S ribosomal RNA". It matches the Rfam family "Bacterial small subunit ribosomal RNA", at positions 28 to 507 of the family's 1533-position model. The record is from RNAcentral.